AACCCUUUAAUUUUUUGGGUUAAAAUCGCCCAUUUUUGGGUCAUUUUUGCUUCAAAAUUAUACAUUUUUAGCAACGACUGAAUAAAUUUGUUCCAUUUUGGUCAAUUUCUGCCAUUUUUGGGUCAAUUUUUACCAUUUUGGGUUCAAAUUUUGGCCAUUUUUGGGUCAUUUUUGACCUUUAUUUUGGUUAAAAUCGCCCAUUUUUGGGUCAUUUUGGGUCAAAAUUGCCAUUUUUAGCAACGAUUGAAUCAAUUUGUGCCAUUUUGGGUCAAUUUUUACCAUUUUGGGUCAUUUCUGCCUUUGGGUCAAUUUUGCCCAUUUUGGGUCAUUUUUGACCCUUUAAUUUUUGGGUUAAAAUCGUCCAUUUUUGGGUCAUUUUGGUCAAAUUGCCAUUUUUAGCAACGAUUGAAUAAAUUUGGUGCCAUUUUGGGCAAUUUCUGCCAUUUUUGGGUCAAAUUUCUGCCAUUUUUGGGUCAAUUUUUGGCCCAUUUUGGGUCAUUUUUGGCCCUUUAAUUUUUGGGUUAAAAUCGCCCAUUUUUGGUCAUUUUGGGUCAAAAUUGACAUUUUUAACAUCUUACAUUAAAUAUUGUUCAUUUUUGGGUCAAUUUUCUGCCAUUAUUGGGUUCAAUUUUGGCCCAUUUUGGGUCAUUUUUGACCCUUUAUUUUUGGGUUAAAAUCGCCCAAUUUGGUCAUUUUGGGUCAAAAUUGACAUUUUUAGCAACGAUUGAAUAAAUUUGUUCAUUUUUGGGUCAAUUUUCUGCCAUUUUUGGGUCAAUUUCUGCCAUUUUGGGGUCAAUUUUUGGCCCAUUUUGGGUCAUUUUUGACCUUUAAUUUUGGGUUAAAAAUCGCCCAUUUUUGGGUCAUUUUGGGUCAAAAUUGACAUUUUUAACAUCUACAUUAAUAUUUGUUCAUUUUUGGUCAAUUUUCUGCCAUUUUUGGGUCAAUUUCUGCCAUUUUUGGGUCAAUUUUGGCCCAUUUUGGGUCAUUUUUGGGUCUAUUCAUUUUUGGGUUAAAAUCGCCCAUUUUUGGUCAUUUUGGGUCAAAAUUGACAUUUUUAACAUCUACAUUAAAUAUUUGUUCAUUUUUGGGUCAAUUUCUGCCAUUUUUGGGUCAAUUUCUGCCAUUUUUGGGUCAAUUUUGGCCCAUUUUGGGUCAUUUUGGACCCUUGAAUUUUUGGGUUAAAAUCGCCCAUUUUUGGGUCAUUUGCGGUCAAAUAUUGCCAUUUUUAGGCAACGAUUGAAUAAUUUGCGGCCAUUUUGGGUCAAUUCUCUGCAUUUUGGGUCAUUUUGGGUCAUUUUGGGUCAUUUUGGCCCUUUAAUUUUUGGGUUAAAAAUCGCCCAUUUUUGGGUCAUUUGGGUCAAAUAUUGCCAUUUUUAGCAACGAUUGAAUCAAUUUGUUCCUUUUUGGGUCAAUUUCUGCCCAUUUUUUUGGGUCAAUUUGUGCCAUUUUUGGGUCAAUUUUGGGUCAUUUUGGGUCAUUUUUGACCCUUUAAUUUUUGGGUUAAAAUCGCCCAUUUUUGGGUCAUUUUGGGUCAAAAUUGCCAUUUUUAGCAACGAUUGAAUAAAUUUGGGCCCAUUUUGGGUCA
Molecule: long non-coding RNA, 1585 nt
Filed under: Coturnix japonica (Japanese quail)
Lineage: Eukaryota; Metazoa; Chordata; Aves; Galliformes; Phasianidae
Description: lncRNA (ENSCJPG00005002955.1)
Source: RNAcentral